This 343-nucleotide ribosomal RNA is filed under the name uncultured bacterium. Its description in RNAcentral is "bacterial SSU rRNA". It matches the Rfam family "Bacterial small subunit ribosomal RNA", at positions 32 to 351 of the family's 1533-position model. The record is from RNAcentral.
AAUCAACGCUGGCGGCGUGCCUCAGACAUGCAAGUCGAACGCGAAAGUCCCCUUCGGGGGACGAAGUAGAGUGGCGCACGGGUGAGUAACACGUAGGUAAUCUACCUUCGGAUGGGGAAGUAACAACCGGAAACGGUUGCUAAUACCGCAUAAUGCAGCGGCACCUAAUGGUGACAGUUGUUAAAGCGGGGGAUUGAAAGACCUCGCGUCUGAAGAGGAGCCUGCGGCGGAUUAGCUUGGGUUAGGGUAACGGCCUACCAAGGCGACGAUCCGUACGCCGGCCUGAGAGGGCGGGUCGGCCACACUGACACUGACAUACGGGUCAGACUCCUACGGGAGGCAG